UUUAACCUGACCUUUCUGCUAUCCUGGCCGAGGUGCUCGUCUUUUAAUGUUAGCCACUCAUGCUUUGUCUAAAGCUGUCUCUCUCACCACUCUGGGCAGACGCCCGCAUAGUGCAGGCUUUCAGCCGCUGGUCGUCCGACGCAGUGCGUUUUGCAUUCGGCUCAUUCCUCGCUUUGUCAUCUGGCUCAGUGUACUGUUUCUGUUCUGUUAACUCUGUUUCGUUCUUCUCGUUCCUCGCCCAAGAGGUAUACAGCACGCUCGUUCAGAAUCGGCGUGGCCACCACGGCCGCUAAGCGGGGUCUGUCCCCUACUGCGAUCAAGGCGCUGGGCCGUUGGUCGUCUGGCGCAUACGCUUCCUGCAUUUGCCUCACUCCUCAUCACGUCGUUGAAGCAUGCUAUAUCUGGUCACGAUUCCGGCUCUCUACCUACUGUCAUAAUCUAAGUUUUCAGCGCUCUCCUGACCAAGGUGCAUCUAUCAAUCAAAUCAUAACGCUCUGCUGUGUCUCUGCUCUCAGCGCAUCCGCGCCAUGUCUUCUCGCAUAGCCUAAGAUGGUGUCUCCUUGUAAGCGGUAGGUGAGUUCACUUCUAAUCUCUAUUUUGGGGCAGGCUACGCCCGCCUCCAUCUCCGCUGGAGGAUAUGCUGUCCUACCCCGGAGUUCAACGCGAAGACGGGAACCUUCGCCAAACAGAUUCAUGCAUUUUGUAUCAAGUGUAAUUGUUCGCCAAACGGAUUCAUGCAUUUUUGUAUCAUGUCUAUUGUUCAAUAAAUGUUAAUAACGUUCAUUUGCCUCUCGAGUCUUCAUGGUAGAAAUGGGAGCUUGCGUAAAUUCUACCAGGGAGACUCGAAUUUCUCGGCUGUCAAACUUACUAGGCUAACCAUCCAAUCUCCCUUUUGACAGAUCAUACAUGCGUCAUCAUUGCCCAGGGUCGUCAACCAAUCACAACGCGAGAUUCGGGAAUCCCCGUUAUGCAUCACUCAUGCAUCGUUCCCUCUCAGCCAAUGGAUCGCAUUCACGUUUGUUUAAAAAAUCAGUCACUCAUUCUGUUCUCUGCUUUCCAGUUAAGCCGAAUUUGAAACCACCACCACCCCUCCGUCCACCGUCACCAGUGGUUCCCGUCUGUUAGGGGGCAGGCUACGCCCGCCUCCAUCUCCGCUGGAGGAUAUGCUGUCCUACCCCGGAGUUCAACGCGAAGACGGGAACCUUCGCCAAACAGAUUCAUGCAUUUUGUAUCAAGUGUAAUUGUUCGCCAAACGGAUUCAUGCAUUUUUGUAUCAUGUCUAUUGUUCAAUAAAUGUUAAUAACGUUCA
Molecule: long non-coding RNA, 1309 nt
Organism: Engraulis encrasicolus (European anchovy)
Lineage: Eukaryota; Metazoa; Chordata; Actinopteri; Clupeiformes; Engraulidae
Exons: 3
Source: RefSeq, a predicted model, not a curated record